CGCACGGGUGAGUAACACGUAUGCAACCUGCCUUCAACAAGGGCAUAACCCGUUGAAAGACGGACUAAUUCCCUAUGACACAGGGGUCCCGCAUGGGGAUAUUUGUUAAAGAUAUUAUCGGUUGAAGAUGGGCAUGCGUUCCAUUAGCUUGUUGGCGGGGUAACGGCCCACCAAGGCAACGAUGGAUAGGGGAACUGAGAGGUUUAUCCCCCACACUGGUACUGAGACACGGACCAGACUCCUACGGGAGGCAGCAGUGAGGAAUAUUGGUCAAUGGACGCAAGUCUGAACCAGCCACGUCGCGUGAAGGAAGACGGCCCUACGGGUUGUAAACUUCUUUUAUACGGGAAUAAAGUGCCCCACGCGUGGGGUUUUGCAAGUACCGUACGAAUAAGGAUCGGCUAACUCCGUGCCAGCAGCCGCGGUAAUACGGAGGAUCCGAGCGCUAUCCGGAUUUAUUGGGUUUAAAGGGUGCUCAGGCGGGGGAUUAAGUCGGCGGUGAAAUUUUGCAGCUCAACUGUAAAAGUGCCUUCGAAACUGGUUUCCUUGAGUGCGGAUGAGGUAGGCGGAAUUUGUGGUGUAGCGGUGAAAUGCAUAGAUAUCACGAGGAACUCCGAUUGCGCAGGCAGCUUACCAAGCCGUAACUGACGCUCAAGCACGAAGGCGUGGGGAUCAAACAGGAUUAGAUACCCUGGUAGUCCACGCAGUAAACGAUGAUUACUGGCUGUUUGCGAUAUAAUGUAAGCGGCUGAGCGAAAGCGUUAAGUAAUCCACCUGGGGAGUACGUUCGCAAGAAUGAAACUCAAAGGAAUUGACGGGGGCCCGCACAAGCGGAGGAACAUGUGGUUUAAUUCGACGAUACGCGAGGAACCUUACCCGGGCUUGAAAUGCAUCUGGCGU
This 900-nucleotide ribosomal RNA is filed under the name uncultured bacterium. RNAcentral describes it as "bacterial SSU rRNA". It matches the Rfam family "Bacterial small subunit ribosomal RNA", at positions 99 to 998 of the family's 1533-position model. The record is from RNAcentral.